UAUUGUGAAUGGCCUUUUUGAAGAUGUCCCUGGACCCUCCUCAUUUAGAGGUAGAAGGUCAAGAAUUGACCUUUUAUCAAGCUUGGAAUCUGAUCGGUUGUCCCCUGAUCUACCCACUUACGAUAGGCCUGAAUCCUCAGGUACAGCUGAACAAGAUGAAAGAAUUGUUUCCAUUAAUCACGUGGCUCUUAUUGAUCCUAAUACAACUUCAGAGAAUCAGAAUGCGGAAGAGCUGGCAGAUUAGCAGUAAUGUGGAUUGCUAAUUUUUUGGUUACUGUUGAGCUAUCAACUUCGAGAAAUUUAGCACGUCUUCGAAUAAUUGGAGGAAGAACAAAUCAAAUUUCAUCUGUCAUCCAAGCCGAAUUAUAUGCUAUUUUGCAAGCCUUAUCAGAAAUCUCUCAGUGGGACAUUCACGAAGUCUGUAUAUACUCAGAUGCUCAACAGGUUGUUCAAGCACUACAACAGAAGGCUAUCCUACCCUGGUCCUGCCAAUGGCAUUUGUGUAGGAUAAGUUUUCUCGUCUCAAAAUAUAGACAUGUCUCCUUUGUGUAUGUAAAUAGAAAGUUUAACAGUUCAGCCCACAAGGUAUCCCAACUAGCGAAACUCCAUCAUCUAUCAUCUUUUAUUUUAAAUGACUAUUAGGAUGGGAUACCUAAAGUGGAAGGCUUUGUUUUGU
This is a long non-coding RNA of Nelumbo nucifera (sacred lotus), 676 nucleotides long. RefSeq lists it as uncharacterized. Lineage: Eukaryota; Viridiplantae; Streptophyta; Magnoliopsida; Proteales; Nelumbonaceae. The record is from RefSeq and is a predicted model, not a curated record.